AGUCUCUUUGGUUGCCCCCAACUCUCAACUUUCUCUCCAUUCAUCCUUCAAACCAUUGACAGCAUGCCAAAGAAAUCAUUUGAGUAUUUGACUCUGGAUCUUUAAGUGAAAAGGAAACUCAUGAACGACGGAUCUAUCUGACAGAAAAAGGGUUUUGAACUUCACGGUGUUCUUGUGGGUGAUGAUUGUGCUUGCACUUUACUACCGAACAAAAUCUCUCUUUUCUUUGAUCAGGAGCUAGAAAAUAUCCAGUUGGAGUAUGAGUUUGAGUGCAAGGGUCAAACCUAUGGAUUUCCGGUCUACGUCUGUCAGGAUUCACCCCACGGAGCCAGAAGCUCAUGUUCAAAGUUCUUUAGCAGUUGCUUGGCAUCCAGGUAUGCUAAUUUUAAUUGAGUAGUUAGACCUGUCUUUACUUGCAUAAUACCUUGUGAAUUGUUGGGAGUUUGGGCAGACGAAUGCGUGGAUAUCUAGGGUUGUUUAGGGUGGUAAGGUACUUAACUUGAUGAUAUUAAUCUUGCGAUUGUUGCUAGGUGUUAUUCUAGGGUUGGUAACCGGUAGGUCGUAAGUGGGAAAAGUUGUUCGAAAAGAGUUGUCCAAGAGUAGGUGAUGGUUGUUGUUUUUCAAGUUAUGUAAUGUGUGCAUAUUAAUUGUCUCUAUUGUAAAACUUGUACAAUGCAUGUUGGGGAAAACAUAAGGGUUUGGAUGUGAAAUGAUCAAUUCUUGACAAUCUC
This is a long non-coding RNA of Solanum tuberosum (potato), 731 nucleotides long. RefSeq lists it as uncharacterized. The record is from RefSeq and is a predicted model, not a curated record. The transcript is spliced from 2 exons. NCBI's taxonomy places the organism in Eukaryota, Viridiplantae, Streptophyta, Magnoliopsida, Solanales, Solanaceae.